GAUGAACGCUGGCGGCGUGCCUAAUACAUGCAAGUCGAGCGAACAGACGAGGAGCUUGCUCCUCUGACGUUAGCGGCGGACGGGUGAGUAACACGUGGAUAACCUCCCUAUAAGACUGGGAUAACUUCGGGAAACCGGAGCUAAUACCGGAUAAUAUAUUGAACCGCAGGGUUGAAUAGUGAAAGUCGGUUUUGCUGGCACUUCUAGAUGGAUCUCGGCCGCAUUGGCUAGUUGGUAAGGUAACGGCUUACCACGGCGACGAUGCGUAGCCGACCUGAGAGGGGGAUCGGCCACACUGGAGCUUGGACACGGUCCAUGCUCCUACGGGAGGCAGCAGUAGGGAAUCUUCCGCAAAGGGCGAAAGCCUGACGGAGCAGCGCGGCGUGAGUGAUGAAGGUCUUCGGAUCGUAAAACUCGGUUAUUAGGGAAGAACAAAUUUGUAAGUAACUAUGCACGUCUUGACGGUACCUAAUCAGAAAGCCACGGCUAACUACGUG
Molecule: ribosomal RNA, 497 nt
Filed under: uncultured bacterium
Lineage: Bacteria
Description: partial 16S ribosomal RNA
Rfam family: Bacterial small subunit ribosomal RNA
Source: RNAcentral